GACCGCUCCGGUAGCCUGGUGCUUAAAGCAUCCGCCUCGAAUGCGAGAGGUCGUGGGUUCAAUCCCUGGCCGAGUCA
This is a non-coding RNA of Potamilus streckersoni, 77 nucleotides long. The record is from the annotation of a GenBank genome assembly. NCBI's taxonomy places the organism in Eukaryota, Metazoa, Mollusca, Bivalvia, Unionida, Unionidae.